Molecule: long non-coding RNA, 567 nt
Organism: Myotis myotis
Lineage: Eukaryota; Metazoa; Chordata; Mammalia; Chiroptera; Vespertilionidae
Exons: 2
Source: RefSeq, a predicted model, not a curated record
UGGGGCCCUGACCCCUCCCCUCCUGACCGCCCCGGCGCGGUUCCCCUCCAGCUCCCUGGUCCCUCCCCGAAUUCCACACUUCCGGACACUGGCUCCCGGCCCCCGAAAGGAUCAGGCCAGGCCAACCUGCCCGCGAUCUGUCUCCACGAUCUGUUUGCCUUGCAAGGCUAGAUAAAGAGCUCCAGGCCCAGAGAAGCAGCAACAUCAGACACGCAGAUGACCUCAGAACCAGCUGCAUUGAAUAAUGACCCCCUGCCCUGGUGCCAACCAAUCAAUCAGUGGAGACCCCAACCCUGAAAGGACACACCUGGAAAGUUGCUUAAUAGUCUACGGAGCUUUUCUCCUGGGACUGUCCCUAAAGACGACACCCUUAAAACCCUUAGGAGGGAAGACCUAGCGGCUCUCCCAGGAGCAAGGCUGCACCUUGCCCUUCCCCAUUCUCCUCCCCAUCCCAUCAAGUGCAUCAUCUUGACCUUCCUUUGCCUCCAUAACUUGUUUCCUCAGCCCAUUUCUUCUACAAAUUACUUCUUUUACCUCUUUGAUUCUCUAAAUAAAUGUUCUCUUAUA